UAUACCUUAGUCAAUAGCUGUACGUUGCACAACAUACGAUGUGGCAGUUCCUUUCUAACUUGGGGAGCCACCCAGUCUUUUUAGGAUUUCCAGGAAGAGCUGUGGCAUCUGACCUUCAACUGUUAUUAAAAGAAAUCAAAGGUUGUAUAACAGUCUGCUGGAGCUUUGCAUUUCUUACUGGAGUUGUGUUUCUUCAAAUGCCUCUACAUUUCUGAGCUUCUCAGGUUCUUUAUUCCUUUACUUGUUUAUCCUCUGCAAACUCGAAGAUGAAAGGAUCUGCAUUCAAAGGACCUGCUUUUCUCUUGCCUUUCACCUUCUGAGCUUAUUUGUAUCUGCGCAAAGGGGUGAUGGGCAGAGGGAGAAGGCUGUCUGAGUAAUCCACCCAUCCUCACUACACAGAUACAUACUGUGAGGUGUGAACCCCACAACUGGUACUGCACCUCAGACGGAAAGAAAAUCUGACACCUGAUAGUUUGAGAAUCAUCCCACCUGAUGCCUACUUGAACAAAGAACCAGAUCCUGCACUAGGACUCUGCUGAUACUAGCUGGCUGCAGACCUGCUGGGAUCCUAGCAUUGAGAGAGACCUAACAAAACAUGCUGUUUCAACAACAUGGCUUGUGUCAUCAUGAGAUCUGCGAGAAAGGGUUAUCCAGAUUUUACGUUAGACAGCCAGGAAAACAAGGCUGUGAAACAACACUGUAACUGAGAGUAACUUCUGAAUGCAGAUUGUGAGAGAGGGCACGACUCUUCAGUCUUCAUUCAAUCUCUUAUCACUGAGAUAGGGAACAUCUUUGUCAAAGAAAAGUCUGGUGAAGUCUGGAAGGAAAAUGCAUGUUCUAAAUGGUUUCAGCUACAUGCAUGUGACCUUCUUAAAUGAUAUGUUUGCAUCGCCAUCAACCCACAAGUAGUAACAGUAUUUUCAGUGUUAUACCUGCUCUACCAGUACUUUCUUGCAUCAGAUUAAAGGUAGUGUCUCCAGGCUGGUUGUUUUCUGGAUGUGCCUUCGCACUACCAGGAACGUGACUCAUCAGAGCAGUGUUCUCAGAAGUAUAUUUUACAUGUUUGCUUGUGAGAGUGGGAUGGAAUCGCAGAAAGUACAGGAUGUGUUCUUCUGGCUAAAACCACCCAGAUUUUAUUCUUCUAAAAUAAUAAAUACAAAGCAGUCAUAUCAACUUAGUACAUGCCUCUAUGAUUCUCCCAUGAAAGGUGUCACAGGGCUGAAAGUAGUAUUUAUUUCUUGCCACCAAAUAUAAGACUCAGUGGUAUUUCCUGCCUAUGGUCUAAGGACCUCCACCCCCAAAAAAGCAUAUGGUAAAGUAAGUCUCACCUUAGCUCAUGCCUCAGAACAGAUACAGCAUCUUAGAGGCAUGGCCAAAACUCAGCAGAUGCUGCAAGCAUAUGAUUCCUACAUGAGCGUUUAUAUGGUACAGCUGUCUUUAAACGUUUUUGUAAUUGGAAAGACUCCAGCAUCUGGUCCUUUGCUUACUACUCUUAGAUCAAAUAGUCGUGGUCUGAAGUCUACUUUUAAACAAUGCAGAAAAAAAAUGAAACCAAAACCUUAAGGCUCUAAUUCAUAUGGUCUGCUUCAAAGUACUGGUAAAAAUAUAAGUAACCAGUGUAAUAAAACAAAAGAAGUGGCAAACAAUUGCAGUAAGGAAUGAUACGAGUUACACAGGCAUACAAACACCUUCAUCAUUUUAAAAGUAGGUAUGUAAGCAACAAGUGGUAUGUACUCAGUUACACAAAUUACUCUUCCCUUUACAUAUUAUUGUGUAAUUCAAC
Molecule: long non-coding RNA, 1783 nt
Organism: Neopsephotus bourkii (Bourke's parrot)
Lineage: Eukaryota; Metazoa; Chordata; Aves; Psittaciformes; Psittacidae
Exons: 5
Source: RefSeq, a predicted model, not a curated record